Cannabis sativa is the source of this 2281-nucleotide RNA transcript. It is a transcript of the gene named O-fucosyltransferase 1, with no coding region annotated. NCBI's taxonomy places the organism in Eukaryota, Viridiplantae, Streptophyta, Magnoliopsida, Rosales, Cannabaceae. The record is from RefSeq and is a predicted model, not a curated record. The transcript has 10 exons.
AUAAUAAUAAAAUUAAAAUUAAGGGAAAUUGAUAUGAAUUUACGGAAAACCCGACCCGGCCAAACACACUCUGUUAGUUGCAGUGAAAUGUAGAGAGAGAAAGAAGAGAGAGAGAGAGUUGGGAUUGAAGAAGAUCUCCAUAGCUGCAUCGAAAGCUAUACAUACAAUACAUACGCACAUACAAUCUAUAGCUACAAUCAACACUCUUCAAAAAGAUCCGAAACAAUGCGCAGACCAGGUUUCCAUCACCGGCAGCCUGGGAAACCAGGAGGAGGAGGAGGAGCGGUGAAAGGUACGGUCGGGAGGCUAUCGAUCGCUGUUGUGGUUCUCAUGAUCUGCACUAUUGCUUUCUUGAUUAAUUUCACUAGUAAUGAUAGUACUGGAUCUGUAUCACGUUCCAAGCUAAAUGUAGAAGAACUUUGGGAAAGUGCUGAUUCUGGUGGUUGGAGACCGUCUUCAGCUCCCCGCUCCGAGUGGCUUCCACCGUCAAUUGGAAGCAAUGGUUUCCUACGAGUGCGAUGUAAUGGUGGUCUCAAUCAGCAACGAACUGCAAUCUGUAAUGCGGUUUUAGCUGCAAGAAUCAUGAAUGCAACCCUUGUGCUGCCAGAGUUGGAUGCAAACUCAUUUUGGCAUGAUGACAGCGGUUUCCAUGGUAUCUACGAUGUUGAACAUUUUAUCAAGGCACUGAAAUAUGAUGUGAACAUCGUGGAAAGCAUUCCAGAAAUUAAGAAAAAUGGGAAAACCAAGAAGAUAAAAGCUUUACAGAUUCGUCCUCCUAGGGAUGCUUCAGUUAGUUGGUACACUACAGAGGCUCUAAAGAAAAUGAAAGAACACGGUGCUAUCUACCUUACUCCAUUUUCUCAUCGUUUAGCAGAAGAAAUUGACAACCCAGAGUACCAACGGUUGCGGUGCAGAGUUAACUAUCAUGCUUUAAGAUUUAAGCCACAGAUUAUGAGAUUGAGUCAAUCUAUUGUUGAUAAGCUCCGGACUCAAGGUCAUUUCAUGUCUAUUCAUCUUCGUUUUGAGAUGGAUAUGCUGGCAUUUGCUGGGUGUUUUGAUAUUUUCACUCCUGCUCAGCAAAGAAUACUAAAGAAGUAUCGGGACGAUAAUUUCGCACCAAAAAAGCUGAUAUACAAUGAAAGAAGGGCCAUAGGUAAAUGCCCAUUGACUCCAGAAGAGGUUGGCCUUAUUUUACGUGCAUUGGGCUUCGACAAUUCGACCAGGAUAUACCUAGCAGCCGGUGAACUAUUCGGCGGUGAGAAGUUCAUGAAACCAUUUCGCUCUCUAUUCCCUCACCUUGAGAACCACAAUUCGGUGGAACAAACAGACGAGCUAGCAGGAAACACCCAAGGAUUAUUAGGAUCUGCCGUGGAUUACAUGGUAUGUCUCUUAUCAGACAUUUUCAUGCCUACAUAUGAUGGUCCAAGCAACUUCGCCAACAACCUCCUUGGACACCGUUUGUACUAUGGUUUCCGAACCACCCUCAGACCCGACAGGAAAGGUCUUGCUCCAAUCUUUAUCGAUCGGGAAAAUGGGAAGACAGCAGGUUUUGAAGAAGCUGUUAAGAAAGUCAUGCUCCAAACAAACUUUGGCGGGCCACACAAACGGAUCCCACCCGAAUCUUUCUACACCAAUCCCUGGCCAGAGUGUUUCUGUCAGAUGUCACCAAAGAAUCCAGCUGAUAGAUGUCCCCCAAACAAUGUCCUCGAGAUUCUUAACGACCAGCUUGAAAGUCAGAACGAGAAAGAAUUGAGGAAUGAUACAGAAUCCUCGAACGUAUUAAAUUCUUCGGUGUCUGCUGAAGAAAGAUGAACACUUUGCAAUCGAAAUUAUUGGGUGAUUAAAAUAUUAUGAUACUUCUGAACCCUUGAACCAAACUGAAAAGGAAUGGGUUUUGAAAAGCUUGCUCAGCAUUCAGGUAAUGAGGGAUGUGAAGUAUUAUUAUUAUAGAGGAAUAUAGUACAUGAUUAGGCAGAUACUAACUGAAGAAGAAGUGCAGAAGAACUAUAUUUGAUUAUUACUGCAAAUUUGUUGUGUUUGUUUUUUUGUGUAUUACAUUUAGUUUACCAAAUCUCUUGUCAUUGUUAAAUUAGAGUCUCUUAAACCACACUAUUUUGUAGCUUUGUAUUUUAGUACACUAUUUGUUGUGUUCCUUAUAUAACACGGUUGAAUUACUUGUACUUAGUAUGUUUCAAGUCCCAUGAGAAUGUAUGAGAAUAGUUUGAUAGAGAUUGCUAUAAGGCAACAUGUGGCUAUAGUGGCAUUUGGCUUCCAAUUUCAA